CGUCCUCCCCCAACAGCACGGGUAGCCUAUUCCCAUCAGAGAGGUCUCUCUGUGUCCUCCCCCAACAGGACGGGUAGCCUAUUCCCAUCAGAGAGGUCUCUCUGCGUCCUCCCCCAACAGGACGGGUAGCCUAUUCCCAUCAGAGAGGUCUCUCUGCGUCCUCCCCCAACAGGACGGGUAGCCUAUUCCCAUCAGAGAGGUCUCCCUGCGUCCUCCCCCAACAGGACGGGUAGCCUAUUCCCAUCAGAGAGGUCUCUCUGUGUCCUCCCCCAACAGGACGGCUAGCCUAUUCCCAUCAGAGAGGUCUCUCUGCGUCCUCCCCCAACAGGACGGGCAGCCUAUUCCCAUCAGAGAGGU
Long non-coding RNA from Oncorhynchus tshawytscha (Chinook salmon), 357 nucleotides. The record is from Ensembl. Lineage: Eukaryota; Metazoa; Chordata; Actinopteri; Salmoniformes; Salmonidae.